GCUAACGCCGGGCCAGGAGACGCGAUAAGACGGAGGGUGCAAGCGUUAUCCGUAAUCACUGGGUUUAAAGGGUGCGUAGGCGGAGAAUUAAGUCAGUGGUGAAAUCCUGUCGCUUAACGAUAGAACUGCCAUUGAUACUGAUUUUCUUGAAUUGGGUUGAGGUUAGCGGAAUGUGACAUGUAGCGGUGAAAUGCAUAGAUAUGUCAUGGAACACCAAUUGCGAAGGCAGCUAACUGGGCCUUGAUUGACGCUGAGGCACGAAAGCGUGGGUAGCGAACAGGAUUAGAUACCCGUGUAGUC
RNAcentral lists this ribosomal RNA (300 nucleotides) under uncultured Helicobacter sp. Its description in RNAcentral is "bacterial SSU rRNA". It matches the Rfam family "Bacterial small subunit ribosomal RNA", at positions 496 to 795 of the family's 1533-position model. Lineage: Bacteria; Pseudomonadati; Campylobacterota; Epsilonproteobacteria; Campylobacterales; Helicobacteraceae. The record is from RNAcentral.